CCCUUAGAUGUCCUGGGCCGCACGCGCGCUACACUGAUGCAUUCAACGAGUAAUUAUUCCUUGGCCGAGAGGCCUGGGUAAUCUUUUAAACGUGCAUCGUGAUAGGGAUAGAUUAUUGCAAUUAUUAAUCUUGAACGAGGAAUUCCUAGUAAACGCAGAUCAUCAAUCUGCAUUGAUUACGUCCCUGCCCUUUGUACACACCGCCCGUCGCUACUACCGAUUGAAUGGUUUAGUGAGAUCUUCGGAUUGGCGCCACUGCGGCUCAGCAAUGGGCUCGGUGGAUGCCGAAAAGUUGAUCAAACUUGAUCAUUUAGAGGAAGUAAAAGUCGUAACA
RNAcentral lists this ribosomal RNA (334 nucleotides) under uncultured eukaryote. RNAcentral describes it as "partial 18S ribosomal RNA". It matches the Rfam family "Eukaryotic small subunit ribosomal RNA", at positions 1470 to 1796 of the family's 1831-position model. The record is from RNAcentral.